RNAcentral lists this ribosomal RNA (525 nucleotides) under uncultured bacterium. RNAcentral describes it as "bacterial SSU rRNA". It matches the Rfam family "Bacterial small subunit ribosomal RNA", at positions 355 to 896 of the family's 1533-position model. The record is from RNAcentral.
CGACGAAUAUUCCGCAAUGCGCGAAAGCGUGACGGAGCAAUGCCGCGUGCAGGAUGAAGCGGCUUCGCCGUGUAAACUGCUGUCAGGGUGUAGGAAUACUGACCAUACCCAAAGGAAGGACCGGCUAACCUCGUGCCAGCAGCCGCGGUAAUACGAGGGGUCCAAGCGUUAAUCGGAAUCACUGGGCUUAAAGGGUACGUAGGCGGCCCUGUAAGCAUCUCGUGAAAUCCCACGGCUCAACCGUGGAAUUGCGGGGUGAACUACAGGGCUUGAGGCAGGUAGAGGUCGUCGGAACGAUCGGUGGAGCGGUGAAAUGCGUUGAUAUCGAUCGGAACGCCGAAGGAGAAGUCAGGCGACUGGGCCUGUCCUGACGCUGAGGUACGAAAGCGUGGGUAGCGAACGGGAUUAGAUACCCCGGUAGUCCACGCCCUAAACGAUGUGCACUAGAUCGAGGCGGCUCUGACGUCGUCUCGGCCGAAGCGAAAGCGUUAAGUGCACCGCCUGGGGAGUACGGUCGCAAGGCUA